RNAcentral lists this ribosomal RNA (497 nucleotides) under uncultured bacterium. RNAcentral's name for it is "partial 16S ribosomal RNA". It matches the Rfam family "Bacterial small subunit ribosomal RNA", at positions 28 to 507 of the family's 1533-position model. The record is from RNAcentral.
GAUGAACGCUGGCGGCGUGCCUAAUACAUGCAAGUCGAGCGAACAGAUGAGGAGCUUGCUCCUCUGACGUUAGCGGCGGACGGGUGAGUAACACGUGGAUAACCUACCUAUAAGACUGGGAUAACUUCGGGAAACCGGAGCUAAUACCGGAUAAUAUAUUGAACCGCAUGGUUCAAUAGUGAAAGACGGUUUUGCUGUCACUAAUAGAUGGAUCCGCGCCGCAUUAGCUAGUUGGUAAGGUAACGGCUUACCAAGGCAACGAUGCGUAGCCGACCUGAGAGGGUGAUCGGCCACACUGGAACUGAGACACGGUCCAGACUCCUACGGGAGGCAGCAGUAGGGAAGCUGCCGCAAUGGGCGAAAGCCUGACGGAGCAACGCCGCGUGAGUGAUGAAGGUCUUCGGAUCGUAAAACUCUGUUAUUAGGGAAGAACAAAUGUGUAAGUAACUAUGCACGUCUUGACGGUACCUAAUCAGAAAGCCACGGCUAACUACGUG